UUGAAAAGAUGUCAUGGAUAUUAGGUCUACCUCGGAACGUACAAAUUAUGUGUUUCCUAAGCUACUACCAGCCAAGUGUAGGCCUAUUUUUCCUAAAGAGAAUUUACUCAAAGGUUUGUUGCGUGAUGUUUCUGUUAAAUAGUGCUGGAUGUAAAAAAAACAAAAAGAAAACACACAGGCCGUUUAAUAAAACUUGAGUAAACUUAUGUGUGUGUGCUUCAUCUUUAAAGAAAUAAACGACCCACCACCAAGCAACAAAUUGGGCGUGAAGAAAGAAAAGUCCGAAGAAAGCAAAGGAGACAAACAACGGGGGAAAAUGAAGAAAAAUAAUUCUUUGAACACAAUAGAGUCGCUGUCGGACCACCGCAGAUGAUGGCCAUCGUCUUAUUAUAUUGAAGGCACAAGCAGGGAGAGCCAAGGAGGCCAAUGCUACGCUAAUUUGUGGACUUCGGCGAACUCAUGAAAAGGGACCGGCCUAAGCAGUAAGGAUGCGCUGUACACAUCUUCACUGUUGGUUUGUAAAUCUUUGCUCUUUUGUGUAAUAGCCAUUGGUGCAUAAAUAACAAGGGAUAAUGACACUGUUAUUUAGUUCCUUAACAAUUAGGUAACCUCCAUAAUUUUUAUGCGCAAACUUAUUGUCCUCCUUCCAAUCUUAUUCAAUAAUUUUCAACUAAACGAUUAUACCUGCCAUCUGCCUGUCACCAAACAAGUUAGUAUUACACACAAUCCGGGUAACACUAACACCCGUGCAGUGAACGACACACGGUGUUCGCGAUAUUCCAAAUGGCCAAAAUGUUACAAACUUUUCGAUCUGUGCUGUCGGCAACGCAGGGAUUCUGAGGGGCGGUGCAGUGGACUUUGGGAUUGUGAUGAGUUUACCUGUGAAGGAAAAGCAGAAUAGCGUUGGUUUUCAGGCGGAUUGAUGACGUGCGUCACCUACCAUAGGAAGCGGGAUAACAUCUUUUAAAAAGAUUUUCAGCCUAUUUCUCGAUAGGGAUUCUAUCUAUAAAAAAUCAUCCUCAUCAUUCACAACCAACUUCUCAUUUUUCGGUGACUUCUCGCGAUAGAUGGCGUUUCCAUUUCGGGGGUACCUCAACUAUUCUUUUAUAGGUUUUUUUCACCUUCCAUGCUACAACGGAAAUUAGUGUCGUCCGGUAGAGCAAAGAAUGUUGCAGUGUAACGUGAAGUUCCCAUAAUUUUAGACUGAACAUUGAAGAUGUGGGUAAAAAUCUAGGCAGCCGAAUAAAGUUUCGGUAGUUUUUUCUUCUUUACAAUAGAUGGCCUUACGAGUAAAACUAUGGAAACAAGGCCGCGAAGGUGUUGUCUGCGAAGGUGGAAACAAGGGUGUUCGCGAAGUUUUCAAUUGCCUUGGAGCAAGAAAGCUAAGAGUUUUAAAAACUAUAAGCAUCACCUUAAAAAGAAC
This is a long non-coding RNA of Daphnia magna, 1423 nucleotides long. RefSeq lists it as uncharacterized. The record is from RefSeq and is a predicted model, not a curated record. NCBI's taxonomy places the organism in Eukaryota, Metazoa, Arthropoda, Branchiopoda, Diplostraca, Daphniidae. The transcript has 3 exons.